This 229-nucleotide small RNA is filed under the name Blautia stercoris. Its description in RNAcentral is "HNH endonuclease-associated RNA and ORF (HEARO) RNA". It matches the Rfam family "HNH endonuclease-associated RNA and ORF (HEARO) RNA", at positions 1 to 128 of the family's 211-position model. The record is from RNAcentral. Lineage: Bacteria; Bacillati; Bacillota; Clostridia; Lachnospirales; Lachnospiraceae.
GUCAAUAACCCACGCCCGAGAUAAAUCUCGGACGGGGCUUGUGAAAACAGAUAUGUUUUUAUAAGUCACGUUUUUAUUUAUCGAAGGCGUUGACCGUAAGGUCAGAUUGAUUAGCCUCAGUGUGCAGCGGAGCCAGUCGACUGUUUCAUAUAGCCAGGAACACUUCCAGCACACUACGUUACCGGUAAAAUAGGCACUCUGUGGAUGCUCCUCAAGUCCCAGACUCUGC